This 720-nucleotide long non-coding RNA is filed under the name Homo sapiens (human). RNAcentral's name for it is "HSALNT0280342". The record is from RNAcentral. Lineage: Eukaryota; Metazoa; Chordata; Mammalia; Primates; Hominidae.
AAAUUACUUUUUCCCUAACAUUACUAGUAAGAGUGAGAUUUUACUGUGUUCUUGUUUAGACAUAAUGUGUAUUUAUCAAUUGUAGUGAUAUAUGGAUAUGCGAGUAUCCAGGUAAUUUAUCAUAUUGUCCAUCACUGUAAUGCUGAGAUUUUUGUAGGUAUCACUUCAAGAGAGGAAAGUUUCUCUUACGAGUGUUUUCCCUUGGCAUUAUGCAAGCAUCCAGUUACCUUUGAUAGGCCCUGAAAUGAUGAAAGAGACGAAGGGAAUUUGCAGGUGUACAGGUAGAAUGAGACAUUUAGGAAACACAUUUUCAACAGUAUAUUUUUUAGGUUCAUUUGAAGAGGUCACAGUGAGCCUAUCAGUAAUAGUUAACAGGGGUCAUUGCUCGUAUGGAUGUGCAUGAUAAUGUGGGCCUAAAACACAGCCCAGCCCAUCUGAUCUUCCCUUAUAUAGGUAGGUGUCCUGUCAAGAAAUGACCGUCUUACCUGACAGUGGUAUUGAUCUUGCAUUAUUACAAGUAUCCAGGUAGAGUUUAUGUGUUCUGUAAUGAUGGAGUGACGAAGGUUAUUUUCAGAUGUCUUGGUGGAAAUGUUUGUGUCCUUUAACACAUAUUUCACAAUGUGUAUUUCAGGUUUCUGUAGUGAGACCCUGAUAAACCUAACAAUGGUUGGUAUGGCAGACAUUUCUGGUAUGCAGGCAAGUGAUGAUGUGUUCUUUAAC